ACACCUCAACUCUCAUGGCUUGCCAUGAUGAGCUUGGACUUUGGGGGUCUUGCUGGCCUGCAGUCAGCUCCUCUCAAAUGAAUUAGCUUCCCAGUGUUUGGCGGCAUCACAGGUGUGAUAACUAUCUACGCUUGUGGUUUUCCACCAGGUAACCUUCAGCAAUGGGGGUUCGCUGGGGCUCAUAAAUGUCUCUCCUCAGUGAGGACAGCUCUUUGAAC
Molecule: unclassified non-coding RNA, 218 nt
Filed under: uncultured Thelephoraceae
Lineage: Eukaryota; Fungi; Basidiomycota; Agaricomycetes; Thelephorales; Thelephoraceae
Description: sequence contains ITS2
Source: RNAcentral